This 484-nucleotide ribosomal RNA is filed under the name uncultured bacterium. RNAcentral's name for it is "partial 16S ribosomal RNA". It matches the Rfam family "Bacterial small subunit ribosomal RNA", at positions 30 to 507 of the family's 1533-position model. The record is from RNAcentral.
AUUGAACGCUGGCGGCAGGCCUAACACAUGCAAGUCGAGCGGAUGAAGGGAGCUUGCUCCUGGAUUCAGCGGCGGACGGGUGAGUAAUGCAUAGGAAUAUGCCUGGCAGUGGGGGAUAACGUCCGGAAACGGGCGCUAAUAACGCAUACGACCAGAGGGAGAAAGUGGGGGAUCUUUGGACCUCACGCUAUCUGAUGAGCCUAGGUCGGAUUUGCUAGUUGGUGGGGUAAAGGCCUACCAAGGCGACGAUCCGUAACUGGUCUGAGAGGAUGAUCAGUCACACUGGAACUGAGACACGGUCCAGACUCCUACGGGAGGCAGCAGUGGGGAAUAUUGGGCAAUGGGCGAAAGCCUGAUCCAGCCAUGCCGCGUGUGUGAAGAAGGUCUUCGGAUUGUAAAGCACUUUAAGUUGGGAGGAAGAGCAGUAAGUUAAUACCUUGCUGUUUUGACGGUACCAACAGAAUAAGCACCGGCUAACUUCGUG